Camellia sinensis is the source of this 519-nucleotide non-coding RNA. Lineage: Eukaryota; Viridiplantae; Streptophyta; Magnoliopsida; Ericales; Theaceae. The record is from RefSeq and is a predicted model, not a curated record.
UUUCGCAAGGUAGAUUAAGGAUACAGAAUUCAAAUGCAGGGGAAUCCAUUUAUUAGUUCAUGUUUAGUUAUGUAAUCACCCUUCAUGGAAUAGUUAGAAAUGUGGAUUUCUAAAUUUCAUGCUCAGGGCUUGAUUUCAGCCAAACCUCAUCUUACAAUGCUUUCAGGUUAACUAUGUCAUGUUCUAGCAUUUCAAACUAGUGAUUUAGUCCUGAUAACAUUAAAGUAAUCUUGAGGGGAUGAAAGGAUACAACAUUAAGACGACUAUUAAGGUCAUCAAGAUCUAGUAUAGGCCUCAGGAACCAGCUCUUAGUGCAAAGUAAACCAUCAUCCAGGGGUCUUGGGUUAAAAUGGUUAGAAGUAGUAGAACAAUAAAUUUCUCAAUUUGAAUUUACCUCAAGAGACGUCUACCCAUUGGUGUUACACACUGAAAUAAGCACAACUAAUUUAUUCCAAAUCCAAAAGAUACUGCAGAGUUGAAAAGCAAAUGGCUUUUGCAUACCUUAUUCAUCAUCCCAAA